RNAcentral lists this ribosomal RNA (253 nucleotides) under uncultured bacterium. Its description in RNAcentral is "partial 16S ribosomal RNA". It matches the Rfam family "Bacterial small subunit ribosomal RNA", at positions 524 to 776 of the family's 1533-position model. The record is from RNAcentral.
UACGUAGGGCGCAAGCGUUAUCCGGAAUUAUUGGGCGUAAAGAGCUCGUAGGCGGUUUGUCGCGUCUGCCGUGAAAGUCCGGGGCUCAACUCCGGAUCUGCGGUGGGUACGGGCAGACUAGAGUGAUGUAGGGGAGACUGGAAUACUUGGUGUAGCAGUGAAAUGCGUAGAUAUCAAGUGGAACACCAGUGGCGAAGGCGAGUCUCUAGACAUUUCCUGACGCUGAGGCACGAAAGCCAGGGGAGCAAACGGG